AUGGCCCACCCUACUCUGCCCAGUAAUUACAUUCAGUCAAUCAAUCUGCCUGGAGACAAUCAGUCUAUCUCAAGCCUCCACGAUGACCUCAUCAGCUCUGUGUCAGCCCUUUGUUCCUUUUCCUAUAAAAGCCUUUUUACUUCAGCUGCGCAGUUGCAGCCAGCCCCAGCCUCCUUCCUCUCUGGCCUGCCCGCUAAUCCCAAUAAACCUGAACUCAGCCUUCAACUCUCGAGCUGUUAUUUGGGAUUGAGUGUCGGGCAGAGGGGCUACACGGGGUCGCACAUUUGGUGCCGAAACCCGGGAGCGAGGGUCGUCAGCCUCCCUGGCGACCCCCUCCCUCCAGCGACCUCGCCAGACCCCCUUCGAUUCGACCUCAGCACUCCGGAUAAGGCUGGAUUGAAGCUUUUCCUACCACCUCCGAGUCUGCCGACACCGUUGCCGCCCAUCUCAUCCGAGACAUCAUCCCUCGGUUCGGGCUGCCAGCCACUAUACAGUCAGACAACGGCCCAGCCUUUGUCUCCAAAGUUACUAAUGCUGUCUGUACUUCCCUAGGAAUUCAGUGGAGACUACAUGCGGCCUACCACCCCCAGUCGUCGGGUAAAGUAGAACGGGCAAACGGACUCAUCAAAGAGCAGCUUACCAAACUCUCUCUCGAACUUAAACAAUCGUGGGUCUCCUUACUACCGUUAGCCCUCACCCGAUUGCGAGCCCGCCCUCGGGGGUCCUCACAACUCAGCCCAUUCGAGCUCUUAUAUGGGCGACCUUUCCUGCUUUCCACCCCACCCCCUCCAGAAAAUUCCCCUCUAAGCACUUAUCUUCCCUACUUUACCCUUCUUAGACACUUACUUAGAGAACAUGCCAAUGCUUCCAUACCCCAGACUUCAGUAAUUCCACCAAACCAAAAGACAGUCGCCCCUGGUGACUCUGUCCUUAUUAAGACCCUCACCCCAAAACCCCUCUCACCCCGCUGGGAGGGGCCCUACACCGUCAUUUUAGCCACCCCCACGGCCAUCAAAGUUGCUCAGAUUCCCUCUUGGGUUCAUCUCUC
Molecule: long non-coding RNA, 1048 nt
Organism: Callithrix jacchus (white-tufted-ear marmoset)
Lineage: Eukaryota; Metazoa; Chordata; Mammalia; Primates; Cebidae
Source: Ensembl